This 305-nucleotide ribosomal RNA is filed under the name uncultured bacterium. Its description in RNAcentral is "bacterial SSU rRNA". It matches the Rfam family "Bacterial small subunit ribosomal RNA", at positions 333 to 655 of the family's 1533-position model. The record is from RNAcentral.
UUACGCCUACGGGGGGUAGCAGUGGGGAAUAUUGCACAAUGGGGGAAACCCUGAUGCAGCGACGCCGCGUGAGUGAAGAAGUAUUUCGGUAUGUAAAGCUCUAUCAGCAGGGAAGAAAAUGACGGUACCUGAUUAAGAAGCCCCGGCUAACUACGUGCCAGCAGCCGCGGUAAUACGUAGGGGGCAAGCGUUAUCCGGAUUUACUGGGUGUAAAGGGAGCGUAGACGGUGAUGCAAGUCAGAAGUGAAAGCCCGGGGCUCAACUCCGGGACUGCUUUUGAAACUGUGUAACUGGAGUGCAGGAGG